RNAcentral lists this transfer RNA (76 nucleotides) under Actinomycetes bacterium. RNAcentral describes it as "tRNA-Glu". It matches the Rfam family "tRNA". From Rfam's summary of the family: Transfer RNA (tRNA) molecules are approximately 80 nucleotides in length. The record is from RNAcentral. Lineage: Bacteria; Bacillati; Actinomycetota; Actinomycetes. RNAcentral also lists the same sequence under 1 other name.
GGUCCCAUCGUCUAGUGGCCUAGGACUCCAGCUUCUCAAGCUGGCUACGCGGGUUCGAAUCCCGCUGGGACUGCCA